CAAAUUAAAGCUUAAAUUAAGUGUUUUAGUUACAUUAAAAGGAUGGUUGUGUAAUUCAAUCUAAUUUGA
RNAcentral lists this transfer RNA (69 nucleotides) under Oulema gallaeciana. RNAcentral's name for it is "tRNA-Val". Lineage: Eukaryota; Metazoa; Arthropoda; Insecta; Coleoptera; Chrysomelidae. The record is from RNAcentral.